RNAcentral lists this small RNA (31 nucleotides) under Bombyx mori (domestic silkworm). Its description in RNAcentral is "ovarian small RNA-20904". Lineage: Eukaryota; Metazoa; Arthropoda; Insecta; Lepidoptera; Bombycidae. The record is from RNAcentral.
UACCUGGUCGAAUCCAGGUUAUCCGCCGUGU